Molecule: ribosomal RNA, 447 nt
Filed under: uncultured bacterium
Lineage: Bacteria
Description: bacterial SSU rRNA
Rfam family: Bacterial small subunit ribosomal RNA
Source: RNAcentral
UGGGGAAUAUUGGACAAUGGGCGAAAGCCUGACCCAGCAACGCCGCGUGAAGGAUGAAGUAUUUCGGUAUGUAAACUUCGUAAGAAUAGGAAGAAUAAAUGACGGUACUAUUUGUAAGGUCCGGCUAACUACGUGCCAGCAGCCGCGGUAAUACGUAGGGACCAAGCGUUGUUCGGAUUUACUGGGCGUAAAGGGCGCGUAGGCGGUUUGUCAAGUCAGUUGUGAAAUCUCCGAGCUUAACUCGGAACGGUCAACUGAUACUGUCAAACUAGAGUACAGAAGGGGCAAUCGGAAUUCUUGGUGUAGCGGUGAAAUGCGUAGAUAUCAAGAGGAACACCUGAGGCGAAGGCGGGUUGCUGGGCUGAUACUGACGCUGAAGCGCGAAAGCUAGGGUAGCAAACGGGAUUAGAUACCCCGGUAGUCCCUGAGCGGGCUGGCAAGGCGCAU